UGACCCACCAGUUAUUAUAUUGGUUCAGCUGUAUGGUUGGGUUAAGUUGAUUUUACAGAAUUUAUCAGGUCUUCAAAGCAGAAACAGGUGAUUUU
Molecule: long non-coding RNA, 95 nt
Filed under: Amazona collaria (yellow-billed parrot)
Lineage: Eukaryota; Metazoa; Chordata; Aves; Psittaciformes; Psittacidae
Description: lncRNA (ENSACOG00000012176.1)
Source: RNAcentral